AGAGUUUGAUCCUGGCUCAGAGCGAACGCUGGCGGCGUGCCUAACACAUGCAAGUCGAGCGGACUGUAAAGAGGGGUAACUCUCUUUGCAGUUAGCGGCGCACGGGUGAGUAACACGUGGGUAACCUACCCUUAGGAGAGGGAUAACUUGGGGAAACCUAAGCUAAUACCUCAUAAGACCACAGACUGAAAUGUCAGUGGUAAAAGGAGCAAUCCACCUAAGGAUGGGCCCGCGGCCUAUCAGGUAGUUGGUAGGGUAACGGCCUACCAAGCCUAUGACGGGUAGCCGAGCUGAGAGGCUGGCCGGCCACAUUGGGACUGAGACACGGCCCAGACUCCUACGGGAGGCAGCAGUGGGGAAUAUUGGGCAAUGGGCGAAAGCCUGACCCAGCGACGCCGCGUGGGGGAAGAAGGCCUUCGGGUUGUAAACCCCUUUUGCAGGGGACGACACAGGACGGUACCCUGCGAAUAAGCCACGGCUAACUCUGUGCCAGCCGCCGCGGU
Molecule: ribosomal RNA, 503 nt
Filed under: uncultured Thermodesulfovibrio sp.
Lineage: Bacteria; Pseudomonadati; Nitrospirota; Thermodesulfovibrionia; Thermodesulfovibrionales; Thermodesulfovibrionaceae
Description: bacterial SSU rRNA
Rfam family: Bacterial small subunit ribosomal RNA
Source: RNAcentral